RNAcentral lists this long non-coding RNA (510 nucleotides) under Prunus persica (peach). RNAcentral's name for it is "long non-coding RNA (PPER_LNC006044)". The record is from RNAcentral. Lineage: Eukaryota; Viridiplantae; Streptophyta; Magnoliopsida; Rosales; Rosaceae.
AAGAGAUCCUUUAACAAGAAGGAAUCUUUAAGAAUCAGGAAAACUAAUAAUAGGAAAACUAAUAAGAGGAAAACUAAUCCAACUAGAAGUAGGAAAACUAAUAAUAUGCAUUCUGCAUCAUUCUCCCCUAUCGAAAAAGAACUCGACACCGACGAGUAAACCAAGAUUAUGGAUGACGACGUCGUUUGUAAGUACGGAUGAUGGGAGGACGGGAUGCAGCCAAAUCCAGAUCAUGAAGAGCAUCUUGAUAACUUUGCAGAAGAGUAGAAUCCAACUGGCAAAAUUCAGCUUCUGUAAUCCAAGUAUCCUCAGUAGCAGGCCUUCCAACCCAACGAACCAGAUAACGGGUAGAACCUCCAGUAGAUGAGGCCACAACUUCAUGAUCCAAGACGUCCUCAAUCUGAUCUGUAGGGACAGAACUAGUAGAAGGAAUACGCGGCACCAUAGGAGGAGUGGAACCCUGAGCAACAUCUAUAGAAAUAGGUGGAGAAAAGGUGCCCCGAUAAGGAG